CUCAAAGUGCGCACAAAGGAGAAAUGUGCGCCGUGCUUCUGCUGCGGGUGUCGGUACUUGAGCGGAUCACGCAGCCGCCGAAGACUUUCUGCUGCAAGUGGAGAAAGGAGAAGAAACGUCUCAAGUCCCGGCGCUGAGAGCGCUGCUCACCGAGCGGCUAACGACAGCGGCGGAGGUGAUCGUCGCUGUGUUUGAGGAAACCGUGGCGGAGUACAAAGACCGAGUGGAGCGGUCAGAGCGGGAGAUCUGCCGCCAGAGGAGGCUGCUCGAUGCCGUGAUGAAGCCUGAAGUCAGCAUUCCUGCAGCUGGUGGUGAGUAAAGAAGAGGUUCAUCCUGAGCAGCAGCAGUGGAGCCCCCUUGUGGACCAGGAGGACCCAGAGCCCCCCCACAUUAAAGAGGAACAGAUAGAACUGAGGAUGAGUCAGGAGGAAGAAGCUAAUAUCAAGUUCACAUUGACUCCUGUCACUGUGAAGACUGAAGAAGAUGAAGAGAAACCCCAGUCGUCACAGUUUCAUCAGAGUCAGACUGAGGAGAACAGAGCGGAUUUAAAUCCUGCUCCUUGCACACAAAUCCUUAAUCAAGUCCUGAUGUAAUAAAUAAAGAGCUUAUAACACUG
Long non-coding RNA from Limanda limanda (common dab), 616 nucleotides. RefSeq lists it as uncharacterized. Lineage: Eukaryota; Metazoa; Chordata; Actinopteri; Pleuronectiformes; Pleuronectidae. The record is from RefSeq and is a predicted model, not a curated record. The transcript is spliced from 2 exons.